GACCACGUAGCUCAGUUGGCAGAGCAUUGGACUGGUAUCCCAAAGGUUGCUGGUUCGACUCCCACCGUGGCCA
Molecule: non-coding RNA, 73 nt
Organism: Paramuricea clavata
Lineage: Eukaryota; Metazoa; Cnidaria; Anthozoa; Malacalcyonacea; Plexauridae
Source: the annotation of a GenBank genome assembly